This 498-nucleotide ribosomal RNA is filed under the name uncultured bacterium. Its description in RNAcentral is "partial 16S ribosomal RNA". It matches the Rfam family "Bacterial small subunit ribosomal RNA", at positions 28 to 505 of the family's 1533-position model. The record is from RNAcentral.
GACGAACGCUGGCGGCGUGCUUAACACAUGCAAGUCGAACGGGUCUGCCCUGUUUUUUGCGGGGUGGGUCAGUGGCGAACGGGUGAGUAACACGUGAGUAACCUGCCCCUCACUUCUGGAUAACCGCUUGAAAGGGUGGCUAAUACGGGGUGUUCUGGCUGUGCCGCAUGGUGUGGCUGGGAAAGAUUCACUUUUGUGGUGUUUUGGUGGGGGAUGGGCUCGCGGCCUAUCAGCUUGUUGGUGGGGUGAUGGCCUGCCAAGGCUUUGACGGGUAGCCGGCCUGGGGGGGGGGGGGGGCACCCGGGGACUGGGAUCCGCCCCAGACUCCUGGGGGGGGCAGCGGGGGGGGGUAUUGCACAAGGGGGGGAAGCCUGAUGCGGCGACGUCGGGGGGGGGAUGGGGGCCUUCGGGUUGUGACCCUUUUUCCCCGGUGAAAAAGGUCCUGCUUGUGGGGGGGGGGUUGCCGGUGGCGGGGUUAGGAAGCCCCGGCUAACUACG